Molecule: ribosomal RNA, 533 nt
Filed under: uncultured Wolbachia sp.
Lineage: Bacteria; Pseudomonadati; Pseudomonadota; Alphaproteobacteria; Rickettsiales; Anaplasmataceae
Description: bacterial SSU rRNA
Rfam family: Bacterial small subunit ribosomal RNA
Source: RNAcentral
GAGUUUGAUCCUGGCUCAGAAUGAACGCUGGCGGCAGGCCUAACACAUGCAAGUCGAACGGAGUUAUAUUGUAGCUUGCUAUGGUAUAACUUAGUGGCAGACGGGUGAGUAAUGUAUAGGAAUCUACCUAGUAGUACGGAAUAAUUGUUGGAAACGGCAACUAAUACCGUAUACGCCCUACGGGGGAAAAAUUUAUUGCUAUUAGAUGAGCCUAUAUUAGAUUAGUUAGUUGGUGAGGUAAAGGCUUACCAAGACAAUGAUCUAUAGCUGAUCUGAGAGGAUGAUCAGCCACACUGGAACUGAGAUACGGUCCAGACUCCUACGGGAGGCAGCAGUGGGGAAUAUUGGACAAUGGGCGAAAGCCUGAUCCAGCCAUGCCGCAUGAGUGAAGAAGGCCUUCGGGUUGUAAAGCUCUUUCGGUGAGGAAGAUAAUGACGGUACUCACAGAAGAAGUCCUGGCUAACUCCGUGCCAGCAGCCGCGGUAAUACGGAGAGGGCUAGCGUUAUUCGGAAUUAUUGGGCGUAAAGAGCGC